This 87-nucleotide non-coding RNA is filed under the name Oleispira antarctica. RNAcentral describes it as "Glycine sequence". It matches the Rfam family "Glycine riboswitch aptamer". From Rfam's summary of the family: This family represents the bacterial glycine riboswitch. Glycine riboswitches usually consist of two metabolite-binding aptamers domains with similar structures in tandem. RNAcentral also lists the same sequence under 1 other name. The record is from RNAcentral. Lineage: Bacteria; Pseudomonadati; Pseudomonadota; Gammaproteobacteria; Oceanospirillales; Oceanospirillaceae.
GCACCAACUGCAGGAGAGAGGCUUUCACUAGCCCGCCGAAGGCGCAAACUCCCAUAAACGCUCAGGCACACGGACUGCAGAAUCUGA